CGGGGGCCAGGCAGCCUCGCCCACAGCGCGGCCCUGACGCCCACCUGCCCGCCCCCAGGAUCGUGGAGAACCUGGGCAUCCUGACCGGGCCGCAGCUCUUCUCCCUCAACAAGGAGGAGCUGAAGAAAGUGUGCGGCGAGGAGGGCGUCCGCGUGUACAGCCAGCUCACCGUGCAGAAGGCCUUCCUGGAGAAGCAGCAAAGUGGGUCGGAGCUGGAAGAACUCAUGAACAAGUUUCAUUCCAUGAAUCAGAGGAGGGGGGAGGACAGCUAGGCCCAGCUGCCUUGGGCUGGGGCCUGCGGAGGGGAAGCCCACCCGCAAUGCAUGGAGUAUUAUUUUUAUA
This 342-nucleotide small RNA is filed under the name Pan troglodytes (chimpanzee). Its description in RNAcentral is "retained intron". Lineage: Eukaryota; Metazoa; Chordata; Mammalia; Primates; Hominidae. The record is from RNAcentral.